RNAcentral lists this ribosomal RNA (405 nucleotides) under uncultured bacterium. RNAcentral describes it as "partial 16S ribosomal RNA". It matches the Rfam family "Bacterial small subunit ribosomal RNA", at positions 28 to 526 of the family's 1533-position model. The record is from RNAcentral.
GAUGAACGCUGGCGGCGUGCCUAAUACAUGCAAGUCGAGCGAAGCGGGGACGGGUGAGUAACACGUGGAUAACCUCCUAUAAGACUGGGAUAACUUCGGGAAACCGGAGCUAAACCGUCUACUUAUAGAUGGUUCCGCGCUGCAUUAGCUAGUUGGUAAGGUAACGGCUUACCAAGGCAACGAUGCAUAGCCGACCGGAGAGGGUGUUCGGCCACACUGGAACUGAGACACGGUCCAGACUCCUACGGGAGGCAGCAGUAGGGAAUCUUCCGCAAUGGGCGAAAGCCUGACGGGGCAACGCCGCGUGAGUGAUGAAGGUCUUGGGAUCGUAAAACUAUGUUAUUUGGGUAGCGGUACCUAAUCAAAAAGCCCCGGCUAACUACGUGCCAGCAGCCGCGGUAAUAC